This 250-nucleotide long non-coding RNA is filed under the name Phoenix dactylifera (date palm). RNAcentral's name for it is "long non-coding RNA (PDAC_LNC020089)". The record is from RNAcentral. Lineage: Eukaryota; Viridiplantae; Streptophyta; Magnoliopsida; Arecales; Arecaceae.
GGGGAGAAGGGGGGGGUAAGCAAGAACUUCCAGAGCAUUCUCCUACUUGCUACUAUUAUCUUUCCUUCUCCUCCAAUCUCCUCUGACUUGAUCGUCGGAGGGCCCCCACUACCCCAGUGGUGGUGCGAGGCUUGCUUGCAGGUUUUCCGGUGGAAAGUGGAGCGCAAUCAACACCAACCAAGGCAACCCAAACGGAACCCCGUUCACACCGCUGUGCCAAUCGUUCUCGGUUUGGACCACCAGCAACAGU